RNAcentral lists this ribosomal RNA (551 nucleotides) under uncultured bacterium. Its description in RNAcentral is "partial 16S ribosomal RNA". It matches the Rfam family "Bacterial small subunit ribosomal RNA", at positions 355 to 899 of the family's 1533-position model. The record is from RNAcentral.
UAGGGAAUUUUGGACAAUGGGCGAAAGCUUGAUCCAGCAAUGCCGCGUGUGUGAAGAAGGCCUUCGGGUUGUAAAGCACUUUUGUCCGGAAAGAAAUCCUUGGCUCUAAUACAGUCGGGGGAUGACGGUACCGGAAGAAUAAGCACCGGCUAACUACGUGCCAGCAGCCGCGGUAAUACGUAGGGUGCAAGCGUUAAUCGGAAUUACUGGGCGUAAAGCGUGCGCAGGCGGUUUGCUAAGACCGAUGUGAAAUCCCCGGGCUCAACCUGGGAACUGCAUUGGUGACUGGCAGGCUAGAGUAUGGCAGAGGGGGGUAGAAUUCCACGUGUAGCAGUGAAAUGCGUAGAGAUGUGGAGGAAUACCGAUGGCGAAGGCAGCCCCCUGGGCCAAUACUGACGCUCAUGCACGAAAGCGUGGGGAGCAAACAGGAUUAGAUACCCUGGUAGUCCACGCCCUAAACGAUGUCAACUAGUUGUUGGGGAUUCAUUUCCUUAGUAACGUAGCUAACGCGUGAAGUUGACCGCCUGGGGAGUACGGUCGCAAGAUUAAAA